GAGUGAUACAUUAUUAGUAAAUAGUAAUGACUAUUGAGCUUAACCUAAUACUCAUAUAAUCAGUAACUUCCACUCCACAUGAAUUAUGGACUAAACACAAACUUGUUUGUGGAUCUUAAAAUCAAAGGGUUAUAAAAUUGCUUAUGAACCUUCGUAUAAUAUUGAAGGACCAAGAGAAAAAAUAUAUUCUUUCUAAGAUACCUUAAACAGUCAAAAGAAUAUGUUUUCCUUAGUAAGCGAGAGCGAGU
This 248-nucleotide long non-coding RNA is filed under the name Manihot esculenta (cassava). Its description in RNAcentral is "long non-coding RNA (MESC_LNC001420)". Lineage: Eukaryota; Viridiplantae; Streptophyta; Magnoliopsida; Malpighiales; Euphorbiaceae. The record is from RNAcentral.